AAGAGCAUUCCGACCUGUUUUUAGAGAUCCGACAAGUCGAAAAAAUCAGUACUUUUUGAGUUCGGACUAAACAAAGAUCACGCCAUUUGUCACUGGUCACAUCUAAAUUCCUAGCAUAAUCUGAGGAUAAUUAUCAUUACAACUUAAAUAGGGAAUUGGAGAAGAUCCACUAUAUAAACAAGGUAAAGUUUCAGAAACAAGUAUGCAAACAAAACUCUUACUUCUAUUAUACUAAAUACUCAAUUCAUA
This 249-nucleotide unclassified non-coding RNA is filed under the name Hevea brasiliensis (rubber tree). The record is from RNAcentral. Lineage: Eukaryota; Viridiplantae; Streptophyta; Magnoliopsida; Malpighiales; Euphorbiaceae.